Molecule: ribosomal RNA, 292 nt
Filed under: uncultured bacterium
Lineage: Bacteria
Description: partial 16S ribosomal RNA
Rfam family: Bacterial small subunit ribosomal RNA
Source: RNAcentral
AGCGAACGCUUGUGGCAGGCUUAACACAUGCAAGUCGAGCGGGGAACUUCGGUUCCUAGCGGCGAACGGGUGAGUAACACGUAGGUAACGUGCCCCUUGGUGAGGGAUAAUUCAGGGAAACUUGGACUAAUACCACAUAUCGUCCUUUUAGGAUGAAAGUCUUCGGACGCCAUGGGAUCGGCCUGCGGCCCAUUAUUUAAUCCUGGUUGGUGGGGUAAUGGCCUACCAAGGGUGCGAUGGGUAGCUGGUCUGAGAGGAUGAUCAGCCACACUGGGACUGAGACACGGCCCAG